RNAcentral lists this ribosomal RNA (497 nucleotides) under uncultured bacterium. RNAcentral's name for it is "partial 16S ribosomal RNA". It matches the Rfam family "Bacterial small subunit ribosomal RNA", at positions 28 to 507 of the family's 1533-position model. The record is from RNAcentral.
GAUGAACGCUGGCGGCGUGCCUAAUACAUGCAAGUCGAGCGAACAGACGAAGAGCUUGCUCCUCUGACGUUAGCGGCGGACGGGUGAGUAACACGUGGAUAACCUACCUAUAAGACUGGGAUAACUUCGGGAAACCGGAGCUAAUACCGGAUAACAUGUUGAACCGCAUGGUUCAACAGUGAAAGACGGUCUUGCUGUCACUUAUAGAUGGAUCCGCGCCGCAUUAGCUAGUUGGUAAGGUAACGGCUUACCAAGGCAACGAUGCGUAGCCGACCGGAGAGGGUGAUCGGGCACACGGGAAGUGGGACAAGGUCCAGACUCCUGCGGGAGGCAGCGGUAGGGAACUUGCCGCAAUGGGCGAAAGCCUUCCGCAGCAACGCCGCGUGAGUGAAGAAGGUCUUCGGAUCGUAAAACUCUGUUAGUAGGGAAGAACAAAUGUGUAAGUAACUAUGCACGUCUUGACGGUACCUAAUCAGAAAGCCACGGCUAACUACGUG